This 473-nucleotide ribosomal RNA is filed under the name uncultured organism. Its description in RNAcentral is "partial 16S ribosomal RNA". It matches the Rfam family "Bacterial small subunit ribosomal RNA", at positions 335 to 799 of the family's 1533-position model. The record is from RNAcentral.
CAUCCUACGGGAGGCAGCAGUGGGGAAUUUUGGACAAUGGGGGCAACCCUGAUCCAGCAAUGCCGCGUGAGUGAAGAAGGCCUUCGGGUUGUAAAGCUCUUUUGUCAGGGAAGAAACGGUAGUAGCGAAUAACUAUUACUAAUGACGGUACCUGAAGAAUAAGCACCGGCUAACUACGUGCCAGCAGCCGCGGUAAUACGUAGGGUGCAAGCGUUAAUCGGAAUUACUGGGCGUAAAGCGUGCGCAGGCGGUUGUGUAAGUCAGAUGUGAAAUCCCCGGGCUCAACCUGGGAAUUGCAUUUGAGACUGCACGGCUAGAGUGUGUCAGAGGGGGGUAGAAUUCCACGUGUAGCAGUGAAAUGCGUAGAUAUGUGGAGGAAUACCGAUGGCGAAGGCAGCCCCCUGGGAUAACACUGACGCUCAUGCACGAAAGCGUGGGGAGCAAACAGGAUUAGAAACCCCAGUAGUCCCAUG